This is a non-coding RNA of Schistosoma mansoni, 46 nucleotides long. The record is from Rfam. Lineage: Eukaryota; Metazoa; Platyhelminthes; Trematoda; Strigeidida; Schistosomatidae.
AUCCAGCUGACGAGUCCUGAGAUAGGACGAAACGCGCAUCUUGGAU